RNAcentral lists this unclassified non-coding RNA (88 nucleotides) under Pseudomonas migulae. Lineage: Bacteria; Pseudomonadati; Pseudomonadota; Gammaproteobacteria; Pseudomonadales; Pseudomonadaceae. The record is from RNAcentral.
GCUGCGGGCGGCGUUCCGACGAUAGCGGUGUGUCAGUCAGAAUAAAUGUUGACUGACACACCGCUAUCGUCGGAACGCCGCCCGCAGC